This 241-nucleotide ribosomal RNA is filed under the name uncultured Staphylococcus sp. RNAcentral describes it as "partial 16S ribosomal RNA". It matches the Rfam family "Bacterial small subunit ribosomal RNA", at positions 99 to 334 of the family's 1533-position model. Lineage: Bacteria; Bacillati; Bacillota; Bacilli; Caryophanales; Staphylococcaceae. The record is from RNAcentral.
CGGACGGGUGAGUAACACGUGGAUAACCUACCUAUAAGACUGGGAUAACUUCGGGAAACCGGAGCUAAUACCGGACAAUAUAUUGAACCGCAUGGUUCAAUAGUGAAAGACGGUUUUGCUGUCACUUAUAGAUGGAUCCGCGCCGCAUUAGCUAGUUGGUAAGGUAACGGCUUACCAAGGCAACGAUGCGUAGCCGACCUGAGAGGGUGAUCGGCCACACUGGAACUGAGACACGGUCCAG